Molecule: ribosomal RNA, 403 nt
Filed under: Streptomyces lavendulae
Lineage: Bacteria; Bacillati; Actinomycetota; Actinomycetes; Kitasatosporales; Streptomycetaceae
Description: bacterial SSU rRNA
Rfam family: Bacterial small subunit ribosomal RNA
Source: RNAcentral
CAUUCACGGAGAGUUUGAUCCUGGCUCAGGACGAACGCUGGCGGCGUGCUUAACACAUGCAAGUCGAACGAUGAAGCCCUUCGGGGUGGAUUAGUGGCGAACGGGUGAGUAACACGUGGGCAAUCUGCCCUGCACUCUGGGACAAGCCCUGGAAACGGGGUCUAAUACCGGAUAUGACCAUCUUGGGCAUCCUUGAUGGUGUAAAGCUCCGGCGGUGCAGGAUGAGCCCGCGGCCUAUCAGCUUGUUGGUGAGGUAACGGCUCACCAAGGCGACGACGGGUAGCCGGCCUGAGAGGGCGACCGGCCACACUGGGACUGAGACACGGCCCAGACUCCUACGGGAGGCAGCAGUGGGGAAUAUUGCACAAUGGGCGAAAGCCUGAUGCAGCGACGCCGCGUGAGG